Molecule: long non-coding RNA, 434 nt
Filed under: Ananas comosus (pineapple)
Lineage: Eukaryota; Viridiplantae; Streptophyta; Magnoliopsida; Poales; Bromeliaceae
Description: long non-coding RNA (ACOM_LNC029398)
Source: RNAcentral
AGUAGUUUUCUAGCCCAACUUUUAGAAAAUAAUUUUGAGAUCAAAAAUAAUUUUAAGCUCAGUAAAAUAUUUGAAAAUAAGCAGUGAAAAUUCUGAUUCUAUUUUUCAAAAUCAGAAAAUUAAUUUUCAAGGCCCUAGAAUGAAGCUUCUCCAAAACUAAUUCCCGUAAAAUUAGUUUUGCCAUUUUAUAAUUUUAUCAAAAAUACCCAAACUACCCUUAAACAAAUAACAUAAUUCUCCUCUAUCCUAGUAUCUAUCUAUAAAUAUAAUACUUCGGUUGGGCCAACUCUUUUUUUUUUUCAGCGCGGGUGGGUGUAGCGCAAGCGAGGGCGGGCAUGGGCGCGGGUCGCGCGCACGUGGCAGCACGAGCAGGCGCGAGUGCACGAGGGGCGCGAGCGGGUGCCCGGCACGGGUCGCGCGUAUAUAGCAGCGUG